UACGUAGGGACCUAGCGUUGUCCGGAAUCAUUGGGCGUAAAGAGCUCGUAGGCGGCUUGUCACGUCGGGUGUGAAAGCCCGGGGCUUAACCCCGGGUCUGCAUUCGAUACGGGCUAGCUAGAGUGUGGUAGGGGAGAUCGGAAUUCCUGGUGUAGCGGUGAAAUGCGCAGAUAUCAGGAGGAACACCGGUGGCGAAGGCGGAUCUCUGGGCCAUUACUGACGCUGAGGAGCGAAAGCGUGGGGAGCGAACAGG
This 253-nucleotide ribosomal RNA is filed under the name uncultured bacterium. Its description in RNAcentral is "partial 16S ribosomal RNA". It matches the Rfam family "Bacterial small subunit ribosomal RNA", at positions 524 to 776 of the family's 1533-position model. The record is from RNAcentral.